AUGGAUCCCACAGCCCCUCCUUCCCACCUCUCCCUCCUCUGUCGUGUCUCACCGCCUCCCUCAGCCCGCUCUGCCUUAGUCAGCUCUGCCUCCUUUUGCUCCAAAAGCCUCAAUGUUCUGCACUUGAAUUUAAAAAGUUACUCUCAGAGCUCAGCAGGUUGUGCCAGGUGUGCAGCCCUGCCAGCAAUAGGUGCUUCCACAUCUCCUGUUCCAGCAAUCCCUGUUCCCUUAUCUCCCAUCCCAGCAAUCCCUGUUCUGUUCCCUCAUCUCCCAUUCCAUCAAUCCCUGUUCUGUUCCAGCAAUCCCUGUUCUGUUCCUUCAUCUCCUGUUCCAGCAAUCCCUGUUCUGUUCCUUCAUCUCCCGUUCCAGCAAUCCCUGUUCUGUUCCCUCAUCUCCCGUUCCAGCAAUCCCUGUUCUGUUCCCUCUCCUGCCUCUCCUGCAGUGGUGUUCCCCCUCCCCUGCCUCUCCUGCAGUGGUGUUCCCUCUCUCCUGCAGUGGUGUUCCCUCUCUCCUGCCUCUCCAGCAGUGGUGUUCCCCCUCCCCUGCCUCUCCUGCAGAACUGCUCCCUCAUCUCCCGUUUGCAGCCACCCCUGCCCCCCCCAGCCCCAGGAGCCCAGCUGAGC
This 623-nucleotide long non-coding RNA is filed under the name Lonchura striata (white-rumped munia). RNAcentral describes it as "domestica (Bengalese finch) lncRNA (ENSLSDG00000012426.1)". The record is from RNAcentral. Lineage: Eukaryota; Metazoa; Chordata; Aves; Passeriformes; Estrildidae.